This 691-nucleotide unclassified non-coding RNA is filed under the name Hevea brasiliensis (rubber tree). The record is from RNAcentral. Lineage: Eukaryota; Viridiplantae; Streptophyta; Magnoliopsida; Malpighiales; Euphorbiaceae.
GCUCCUACCUUCUCCCCUUCCCCGGCUCCUGCUCCUGGCUCUGCCGACGUAUCUGUGAGACUGGGCCCGACCAUUAUCUGGAGAGUGGCUAUUGCUUCGCCUUUCCCGCCUUUCAAAAGCUGGAGACAUGCUCUUGUAAUGAUAGUUAUCCUUCCUCAAAUCUUCAGUUCCUGUAACAUUGUCCCCAGACGACCAACCUGAUCUACUUUUGGACUGCCAUGAAUUUUCAGGUUUUGGAGGUCCCCACUCCUCAUAUUUCGGUGGACUCUCUUCUUCAGCAUCCCACAAAGACUUUCGCUUUUUUGCAUUUUCACCCAUAGUGGCCCUUGAUAGAAAAUAUCAGCAAUAUUUAUGUUCUUUCAUGAAGCAUAUUUGGAGACGUGAAUACAGAAAGCCUCUGUCUACGUUCAAUAGGACUAGGUGGUACACCAGCUAAACUUCCUCCAUUCUGGGGUUUCCUUUUUCAAGUUUUCCAGCUUAAGGAAGACAAACAUUCGAAUUGGAAAACUGAAAAUCAAGUUCCCAUUUCAAAGAAUCAAGAAAACAUAAUCUAAAAAUCAGUUCUUGAUUCAGCUGAUUAUCUGGGGGUAGAUGGGAAGUAGUGAGAAAAUGCCAAAGAAUCAAGAUUUGAUUCAAGUCAGUAAAACAGAUCAAAAACAAAUAGUUAAGGUAGCAAAAAAUACUAAAAAAU